This 414-nucleotide ribosomal RNA is filed under the name uncultured bacterium. RNAcentral's name for it is "bacterial SSU rRNA". It matches the Rfam family "Bacterial small subunit ribosomal RNA", at positions 30 to 444 of the family's 1533-position model. The record is from RNAcentral.
AUUGAACGCUGGCGGCAGGCCUAACACAUGCAAGUCGAGCGGUAGAGAGGUGCUUGCAUCUCUUGAGAGCGGCGGACGGGUGAGUAAUGCCUAGGAAUCUGCCUGGUGGUGGGGGAUAACGUUCGGAAACGGACGCUAAUACCGCAUACGUCCUACGGGAGAAAGCGGGGGAUCUUCGGACCUCGCGCCAUUAGAUGAGCCUAGGUCGGAUUAGCUAGUUGGUGAGGUAAUGGCUCACCAAGGCGACGAUCCGUAACUGGUCUGAGAGGAUGAUCAGUCACACUGGAACUGAGACACGGUCCAGACUCCUACGGGAGGCAGCAGUGGGGAAUAUUGGACAAUGGGCGAAAGCCUGAUCCAGCCAUGCCGCGUGUGUGAAGAAGGUCUUCGGAUUGUAAAGCACUUUAAGUUGGG